GACGAACGCUGGCGGCGUGCUUAACACAUGCAAGUCGAACGCUGAAGCUUGGUGCUUGCACUGGGUGGAUGAGUGGCGAACGGGUGAGUAAUACGUGAGUAACCUGCCCUUGACUCUGGGAUAAGCCUGGGAAACUGGGUCUAAUACUGGAUAUGACCUCCUGUCGCAUGGUGGGGGGUGGAAAGGGUUUGUACUGGUUGUGGAUGGGCUCACGGCCUAUCAGCUUGUUGGUGGGGUAAUGGCCUACCAAGGCGACGACGGGUAGCCGGCCUGAGAGGGUGACCGGCCACACUGGGACUGAGACACGGCCCAGACUCCUACGGGAGGCAGCAGUGGGGAAUAUUGCACAAUGGGCGCAAGCCUGAUGCAGCGACGCCGCGUGAGGGAUGACGGCCUUCGGGUUGUAAACCUCUUUCAGCACGGAAGAAGCGAAAGUGACGGUACGUGCAGAAGAAGCGCCGGCUAACUACGUGCCAGCAGCCGCGGUAAUACGUAGGGCGCAAGCGUUGUCCGGAAUUAUUGGGCGUAAAGAGCUCG
This 537-nucleotide ribosomal RNA is filed under the name Kocuria sp. RNAcentral describes it as "bacterial SSU rRNA". It matches the Rfam family "Bacterial small subunit ribosomal RNA", at positions 28 to 571 of the family's 1533-position model. Lineage: Bacteria; Bacillati; Actinomycetota; Actinomycetes; Micrococcales; Micrococcaceae. The record is from RNAcentral.